Molecule: unclassified non-coding RNA, 342 nt
Filed under: uncultured fungus
Lineage: Eukaryota; Fungi
Description: partial contains 5.8S ribosomal RNA, internal transcribed spacer 2, and large subunit ribosomal RNA
Source: RNAcentral
AACGCAUCUUGCACUCUCCUCGGGGAGUAUGCCUGUUUGAGAAUCUAUUUACCCCCUUUUUGCCGCGGCUUUGCAACAACUCGCGGCAAAAAAGUUGGGCGCGUUUCUCGCGCGAGCGAGUCGCCCGAAUGGCAGACGAGCCCGCUUUUUGGCGCUGAACAAGGAAAAUGUUUGAAUAGGGGCGCCCCCGUUUGGGCGGUGCUUCUUCCUACGCUUUUCUUUUGGCUGGAGAGCGGCUUGGCCCCCAACCAGAGAGCGGCUGCUGUGCCUCCCCUCGGGGACAGCGGCAGCCCCCCUCAGAAUCCAGGUCUCAAAUCAGGCAGGAGGACCCGCUGAACUUAA